Molecule: ribosomal RNA, 557 nt
Filed under: Bifidobacterium bifidum
Lineage: Bacteria; Bacillati; Actinomycetota; Actinomycetes; Bifidobacteriales; Bifidobacteriaceae
Description: bacterial SSU rRNA
Rfam family: Bacterial small subunit ribosomal RNA
Source: RNAcentral
GGUCUCCUGGAAACGGGUGGUAAUGCCGGAUGUUCCACAUGAUCGCAUGUGAUUGUGGGAAAGAUUCUAUCGGCGUGGGAUGGGGUCGCGUCCUAUCAGCUUGUUGGUGAGGUAACGGCUCACCAAGGCUUCGACGGGUAGCCGGCCUGAGAGGGCGACCGGCCACAUUGGGACUGAGAUACGGCCCAGACUCCUACGGGAGGCAGCAGUGGGGAAUAUUGCACAAUGGGCGCAAGCCUGAUGCAGCGACGCCGCGUGAGGGAUGGAGGCCUUCGGGUUGUAAACCUCUUUUGUUUGGGAGCAAGCCUUCGGGUGAGUGUACCUUUCGAAUAAGCGCCGGCUAACUACGUGCCAGCAGCCGCGGUAAUACGUAGGGCGCAAGCGUUAUCCGGAUUUAUUGGGCGUAAAGGGCUCGUAGGCGGCUCGUCGCGUCCGGUGUGAAAGUCCAUCGCUUAACGGUGGAUCUGCGCCGGGUACGGGCGGGCUGGAGUGCGGUAGGGGAGACUGGAAUUCCCGGUGUAACGGUGGAAUGUGUAGAUAUCGGGAAGAACACCACC